UACGUAGGGGGCAAGCGUUGUCCGGAUUCACUGGGUGUAAAGGGCGCGUAGGCGGGAUAGCAAGUCAGUGGUGAAAUCUUGCAGCUCAACUGCAAAACUGCCAUUGAUACUGCUGUUCUUGAAUGUGGAAGAGAGAGGCGGAAUUCCAGGUGUAGUAGUGAAAUACGUAGAUAUCUGGAAGAACACCAAUUGCGAAGGCUGCUUCUUGGUCCAUUAUUGACGCUGAGGCGCGAAAGCGUGGGGAGCAAACAGGAUUAGAUACCCUGGUAGUCCACGCUGUAAACGAUGAGUGCUAGAUGCCGGAUUUUUUCGGUGUCGCAGCUAACGCAUUAAGCACUCCACCUGGGAAGUACGAUCGCAAGGUUGAA
Molecule: ribosomal RNA, 368 nt
Filed under: uncultured bacterium
Lineage: Bacteria
Description: bacterial SSU rRNA
Rfam family: Bacterial small subunit ribosomal RNA
Source: RNAcentral